GACAUUCCACCUCAGACACGACCUGUGAGACCCUCUCAAUAAGGGACUCGAACUUACUUUGCCAAAGGAUCCUUGGCCCAGAACCUUGAGGAGCUCAAACUGGGAUGGAUCGGCCUUCUCAGAGCCAGCCUUGACGUGGUGUGUGAUGGAGAUCUCCUUGAGGAUGGCCUCAUCCUGACAGAGGGACAGAGCUGGGCUCUGAUAACGGUCUGUGGUAGACGGCCUGUGGAAUUGUGAAAGACGCCUCCCCGAGACCAAAGCGCUGACUGCUUCUUCAGACAGGGGCAGCCAGCCCGAAGAUUCUCCACAAGCGCUUCUGCCAGGAUUCCCUCAACCCGCCAGCCCCCAUUAACAGGGAAAGAAGCACUGUAGCUACCAGAAGGGACGGGAAGAAGAAAAUGCACUCAGGAUUUCCUUAGUUGAACUGCGUGAGGACCUGAAGCCUCUGAUGAGGGGAAGGAGGGACACACUUAUAUUCCUGACCCUCCCCAGAGCAGCAGGAGGAAAAGCCUAUCGCCACACCAUCUGAUCUUGGUCCUCUCGGGCCUCCACUCAAGGCCUCUUGCUACGGUCAAGCCCACUUGUCUGUCGCUCAUCCUAAGGGCCACUAACACUCGCUUCCCCAGCUGGCAACAUCUGCAGGACCUCCCAGGUGGGAGACAACUGUCCUGCUACAGAGCUGCAGUUAAGAUGCUGUCGCUGCCCAGAGGUGCAGAGACGGUUGAGGGUGAAGACCUUCUGGAUGAAGACAGUCCAGCUGGGUCUUGAAGAUGAACAGGCAUGCGAUAGACAGAAAGGGACAGAAAGGGUCCACGCUGAGAAUGAGCGGUGUAAGCAAGGCCCAUGGGAAGUGGGGUAAUGGCUCCGUGCAAGUCACCUGCUCCCAGGCAAAAUGUCUACCUCAGUAUCUGCCUCUCCCCUGCCAAGAUGAAGGUUCAAACCAUCCCCUUGGAAGUAUGUCUCCGGGCGCGCCAAAUGGGCCAUGGAGAAAGGACACUGUAAACAAAACCUCUUUCUAUUUAGACCACAGGCGCUCCCCAGGGCAGGCUGAAGGAAGAGGGCCCUUCAUGCAUCCCAGGCGCUAAGCAGGUAGUCUGGCCAGUUCCGGUCAUCCACAGAAGCAAGCAUCUCAAUACCUGAGGCUCCCCAUAGCCCAGAGUCACAUCCUGCCCAGGCUGGAAGGCCAGGGGGAGCAUAAGGGAUCCGGGAGGGAUCAGGGUUUCAUAAACAGGAAGAGAAGAGGGGAGGCGGGAGAUACUCUGCUCUCAAAAUAGACCUGCAGGCACUUCAAAGGGGUCCAGCUCCGGAGAUAGCCAGAGGAGGGGGCCUGGGUUACCCAGGCUGCUCCCAGGAGGGGAGGGGGGAGUGUAAGUGGAGCCCUGAUGUUUCUGAGUAUCCAAAGAGCGUUUGCCUACACCAUCAAUGCCAAACUCCAACUCUGUCCAUCUGUAAUGGAUAAAGGAGCCAGCAUUAGAUAGCAACACUGGGUACAGACCUUGAGGAAUACUGUUUGUUGGUUUGGGGUUUUUUUAAGGUUUAUUUAUUGAUUAUGUUAAGUGCACUGUAACUGU
Molecule: long non-coding RNA, 1571 nt
Organism: Mus musculus (house mouse)
Lineage: Eukaryota; Metazoa; Chordata; Mammalia; Rodentia; Muridae
Product: predicted gene 12977
Exons: 3
Source: RefSeq, a predicted model, not a curated record